Otolemur garnettii (small-eared galago) is the source of this 101-nucleotide small nuclear RNA. Lineage: Eukaryota; Metazoa; Chordata; Mammalia; Primates; Galagidae. The record is from Ensembl.
GUGCCAGCUUGGGCAGCACUAAAAUUGGAAUGCUGCAGAGAAGAUUAGCAUGGCCCCUGUGCAAGGAUGACAUGCAAAUUGGUGAAGCGUUCCUUAUUUUU